RNAcentral lists this ribosomal RNA (303 nucleotides) under uncultured bacterium. RNAcentral's name for it is "partial 16S ribosomal RNA". It matches the Rfam family "Bacterial small subunit ribosomal RNA", at positions 507 to 807 of the family's 1533-position model. The record is from RNAcentral.
AGCAGUAGCCGCGGUAAUACGGAGGGGGCUAGCGCUGUUCGGAAUUACUGGGCGUAAAGCGUACGUAGGCGGCUUGGUAAGUUAGAGGUGAAAGCCCGGAGCUCAACUCCGGAAUUGCCUUUAAGACUGCCGAGCUAGUAGGUGAGAGAGGUAAGUGGAAUUCCGAGUGUAGAGGUGAAAUUCGUAGAUAUUCGGAAGAACACCAGUGGCGAAGGCGGCUUACUGGCUCAUUCUAGACGCUGAGGUGCGAAAGCGUGGGGAGCAAACAGGAUUAGAGACCCCCGUAGUCCCUGUCUCUUAUAC